CGGCGGACGGGUGAGUAAUGCCUAGGAAUCUGCCUGGUAGUGGGGGACAACGUUUCGAAAGGAACGCUAAUACCGCAUACGUCCUAUGGGAGAAAGCAGGGACCUUCGGGCCUUGCGCUAUCAGAUGAGCCUAGGUCGGAUUAGCUAGUUGGUGAGGUAAUGGCUCACCAAGGCGACGAUCCGUAACUGGUCUGAGAGGAUGAUCAGUCACACUGGAACUGAGACACGGUCCAGACUCCUAAGGGAGGCAGCAGUA
RNAcentral lists this ribosomal RNA (256 nucleotides) under uncultured Pseudomonas sp. Its description in RNAcentral is "partial 16S ribosomal RNA". It matches the Rfam family "Bacterial small subunit ribosomal RNA", at positions 96 to 355 of the family's 1533-position model. The record is from RNAcentral. Lineage: Bacteria; Pseudomonadati; Pseudomonadota; Gammaproteobacteria; Pseudomonadales; Pseudomonadaceae.